GACGAACGCUGGCGGCGUGCCUAAUACAUGCAAGUAGAACGCUGACGGAGGAGCUUGCUUCUCUGGAUGAGUUGCGAACGGGUGAGUAACGCGUAGGUAACCUGCCUUGUAGCGGGGGAUAACUAUUGGAAACGAUAGCUAAUACCGCAUAAUAGUAGAUCUUGCAUGACAUUUGCUUAAAAUUUGCACUUGCCUCACUACCAUAUGCACCUGCGUUGUAUUAGCUAUUUGGUGAGGUAACGGCUCACCAAGGCGAAGAUACAUAGCCGAGCUGAGAGGGUGAUCGGCCACCACGGGAAUGGGACACGGCCCAGAAUCCUAAGGGAGGCAGCAGUAGGGAAUCUUCGGCAAUGGAGGGAAGGCUGACCGAGCAACGACGGGGGAGGGAAGGAGGUUUUCGGAUCGUAAAGGUCUGUUGGAAGAGAAGAAAGAGUGUGAGAGUGGAAAGUUCACGCUGUGACGGUAUCUUACCAGAAAGGGACGGCUAACUACGUG
RNAcentral lists this ribosomal RNA (495 nucleotides) under uncultured bacterium. RNAcentral describes it as "partial 16S ribosomal RNA". It matches the Rfam family "Bacterial small subunit ribosomal RNA", at positions 28 to 507 of the family's 1533-position model. The record is from RNAcentral.